Long non-coding RNA from Pangasianodon hypophthalmus (striped catfish), 1740 nucleotides. RefSeq lists it as uncharacterized. The record is from RefSeq and is a predicted model, not a curated record. Lineage: Eukaryota; Metazoa; Chordata; Actinopteri; Siluriformes; Pangasiidae. The transcript has 3 exons.
GUUCAUGAACACAGGUCGGGCUUGCUGAGAACAUGCUAAAUAAACUGCAGCACUGCGCGCGCGUCUCUCGCCACCUCAGGGCACAGUUUAGCAUGUUAUCCAUCCAUCAUUACUAUCGAUGGCUUGUUCACGUUAAAAGCACAGUUCAAAUGAUUAUUCUGGUGGUUAACACACUCACACAGAGCGCAGAUUAUACAGUAAAUAGCACUGUUCUGCGCAGGAACUACACUACGAUAAGGCUCGCGAAAGGUCAACAGGGUGCUCAUGACGCCAUAUUUAACCUCUCCACACGUCAAAUGAACGCGUCCUUUACUUUGUUUAGUCACAUUUCAUUGGCUACGAGUUGCUAUGGUGAGAAACGGGCUUAACCAAUCAGAGUCAGGCACUUUUCCCGUUUCUGUUCGAACGCUGUUAGCCAGCUAGCAUAGUGGCUGAAGUACUGCUGUUCUACUGCAGGAGGCGAAACAGUGGCGUGGAUGUUGUUUUAUAUGCCAUUAGGUUAUUUUCCGCUAUUACUCGCAUGUUGUUUGACUCAUUUUCGGUGGAACCUUUUUUGGCAACGCUGUUAUGAUGAAGAGAAAGUUGAAAUUUUUAAAUAUCAAAUGUGCUGUUUGACAUUCAGCACCACGCGCGAGCGCGACUCAGUCCGCACUGUGAUUUCAUUUCCUCAGCUCUGCCUCACAGUCCCUCUGCACCGCGCCGCUGGGCAUGAGGCAGCGUCGCCGGCUGUAACGCAGCUGCCUUCAUUUUGCAAAACAAAUGAGUUUAUACUGCGCUUUGGCUUCCCCUCACUUCACCCGUGCCCAGAUAAGGACUUCUCAAUUCACAAAAUGCACGUGUUGUGUUUGUUUAUGCAGCCUUUAUUUCUGCAAGUGACGUGUUAGUAGCUGGAGCAGGAAACCAGUGGCAGUAUUUACAGUUAGACGCUGAUAGCGGUUUCUAACCAACAGUCCCGGCAUGUGUCGAUUCAUGUGUCGACUCAGUGUUCUGAUAAACUCGACGCUUUUUUAAUAAUAAUAAUAAUACGCUGGCCAAAGUGUCUAUUAAAGGCCACUAUUAAGAGAUGUUAGACAAUCUUCUGCAGGCUUAAACUGUUGCCUCCACUUGAACUAACGCGCUGCCUGUGAUUCACGACAGCGCAGCACUUUCAGGCAGUUAGUGAAGUGUUUACAGCGUGUAAACAACUGUUUACCUCCAAAUCUAACAGCAAGUCGGUACUGCCAUGGAAGCCAUCAUGAAGGUGGGGUAGAAUGUAGCACAGAGCUGAAGUCCAUCAUCGUAAUCAGAUCCGUGGUGUUAGGAGUCUAAAAGAGCAGGCGCUUGAGACUGGCCGGUGGUGUAGAGCAGAUGCGAUCAGCUCAGAGUAAAGUCAGAGAUGGGAGGAAACCGGUGAACCCAGAGGAAACCCACGUGGACACAGGGAGACCAUGCAGAGAAACUCCAUACAGACAGUAAUCCGUGUUCAAGAUCAAACCGGGAACCCUGGAGCUUUGAGGCAGAAACAUCCAUUUAUAUCAUGCUGCUAUCACUAAUUUGUAUUUUUGUACAAGGAUGGAAAAUGGUCUGAAAUACUGAACCAGUACUUCAGUAAUUUUCACAUUUUAAUUGCUAUAUCUAUUUAUUUUUCUGCCCUACAUAUCAUACUGCUAUCAUUCAUUUUGUAUUCUUGUCAUAUUGAUAAAAUUACUGUCAUACCUUUAUUUAUUUAUUUAUUUAUUUAUUUCAUCACAUGUUCUGUUC